This 474-nucleotide small RNA is filed under the name Pongo abelii (Sumatran orangutan). Its description in RNAcentral is "processed transcript". Lineage: Eukaryota; Metazoa; Chordata; Mammalia; Primates; Hominidae. The record is from RNAcentral.
CCCGGUGCUAUAGGGCCGGUUCCGGGGGCGCGUGGCUGCAGGGGGGGCCCGCGUGGUCCCUCCUGAGGCGGCCCCCGGAUGAAGAGAUCUGGGAACCCGGGAGCCGAGGCAGACUUCUGCGUUAUGACCCGGCUGCUGGGCUACGUGGACCCCCUGGAUCCCAGCUUCGUGGCUGCCGUCAUCACCAUCGCCUUCAAUCCGCUCUACUGGAAUGUGCUUCACGCAGGCCAUGCUGAGCCAGCCCAGGAUGGAAAGCCUGGACACCCCUGCGGCCUACAGCCUGGGACUCGCGCUCCUGGGACUGGGCGUCGUGCUUGUGCUCUCCAGCUUCUUUGCACUGGGGUUCACUGGAACUUUCCUAGGUGAUUACUUCGGGAUCCUCAAGGAGGCAAGAGUGACCAUGUUCCCCUUCAACAUCCUGGACAACCCCAUGUACUGGGGAAGCACAGCCAACUACCUGGGCUGGGCUAUCAU